UACAGAGGGGGCAAGCGUUGUUCGGAAUUACUGGGCGUAAAGGGCGCGUAGGCGGCCCGCUAAGUCGAACGUGAAAUCCCCGGGCUCAACCCGGGAACUGCGUCCGAUACUGGUGGGCUCGAAUCCGGGAGAGGGAUGUGGAAUUCCAGGUGUAGCGGUGAAAUGCGUAGAGAUGUGGAGGAACACCAGUGGCGAAGGCGACUCUUUGGCCUGUAACUGACACUGAGGCGCGAAAGCGUGGGGAGCAAACAGG
Molecule: ribosomal RNA, 253 nt
Filed under: uncultured bacterium
Lineage: Bacteria
Description: partial 16S ribosomal RNA
Rfam family: Bacterial small subunit ribosomal RNA
Source: RNAcentral